GAGGUCCCUUCCAACCACUAAGAUUCUGUGAUUCUGUGACUUCUGUCCCUGCAGUGGUACCAUCUCUCCGGCUGGACCUCCCCAACUCUUAAAGAACAGUUUUCAUCACGCGGUGUGAACCUCCCAAGCCACGGCUGCUUUCUCUCUCCUCAUAGGAACAGGAGCUUUAAAGAGCAAGACAUUCCGAAGUAGGAAUGCCAAAAUCUGCUAUGAGGCAAAAGCUUAGAGGUGGCUGGAAAUGAGCUGUCGUUCUGCAGCGUGAUCCACAGCAGAGCUGGAACCAGGUGAUCAGGACUAGAUGGCCUCUACUGCUUCAAUUAUGUUGGCCGUUAAUGACAAUACUUCUCACAAGCAAGCUGGGCUGCUGUGCCUGAUACUCCUAUAGCUCUCACCACGUGUGGCUGCUGCCACUUCAGCUGUGGCCUCCAGACAACUGCACUGAAGAUCCUGUUUAAGAAAGCGAGCAAGCCUGGACUUCGUGUGUUUUCUUGCAAUAUUGUCCUGGACAGUUUCCAAUCUGUUAAUGAAAGAACACCGACAUCUAAGCCAUCCCCAGGGGAGGUUAAAGAUCCGUCUGAGUUCUGUAAGAGGUUCCUAAAUAGCUGUAACAAGCCCAUACUUCAAAAGAAAUACAUUUUGCUAUUUUUAAAAUAUGUGAGUUUUGGAAGGCUUUGAAUAUCAAGAUUAAUUCUCUGUCUAAAUGCAAUAGAAAGCAGCACUGACUGGUGAGCCUCACUCAAAUCUGGAAGGGUUUAAUAUUGUCUGGAUUUGGUGUUCUAAAAGCUUAAGGUAUGACAGUGUUUAGUUUACUUUUUUCCCCAGAGCACACUGUGCAUGUACUUACGGAUUCCUUGGUAUAUCUCACUGGAUUAACGUGAAAAAUAUAUUACAUUAUCUAUCAGCACUUGAAAUUUUGACUCGAGGAUUCUGGUUGGAUAGAUUACUGAGCAGUGUUUAAUUGAAAGAUUUAAUGAUUCCCUGAACAAGACAACGACUCACUCUUGAACAAGAGGGAACAGCUCCUACAGAGGAGAGAACAGCCCCAAGGUGGUAAGGAGCCAGUUAUUGCUGCCCAGCGUGGUGCUGUUUGCAGCAGGCAGCAAUUUAAGCGGUCUGUGGAAGCUGAGCAGAAAGGUCCAGGGCAGCUGAGCAGGUUUGGACACUGGAUGAUGCACCAGGUCACUAAAAUUACAAAGUGAAGCUGUGUAUUCUCAGUGUCUUGCAUUAGACACCUACCUGGGAUGUCCGAGCUAAGAGGCUGCUCUGCUCUCCACUAUGGUCACCCAGAGUCCUGUUCUGAACUGCCCUUUGGAGGUGCCUGUCCCUUGUCAUUGCCUAUAAUGGGUAGUCUAAGGAGCCCAGACUCCCUAUUUAGCCACCUGAGUGAUUAGCACAGCAAGAUGUAAUUUAAUAAGUCUCUGUGCUGAGGCCUUCAUCCUAAAGUGCUGUACAGUUAAUAUUACCAGACAGAAGGAGAAUGCAAAGUCCAGAACAAGAAUCCAGCUGUGGAGACACUGAGAACAUUUGGUUUCAGAGGCUGGGUCCAAAUCAGCUAGAAAAAUGGGCCAGGAUGGAGCUGCCACUGGUGGUUUUUUGGUUGUAGGGAGAGAAGGGAAGGAUUGACUCUUGGCUGCGAUUAUUUUGUGUGAAUGGAAUUAUGGGGGGGUCAAUCUCUUCUCCCAGGUCACAGGCGAUGGGACAAGAGGAAAUGGCCUGAAGUUGCAUGAGGGGAGGUUCAGA
Calidris pugnax (ruff) is the source of this 1740-nucleotide long non-coding RNA. RefSeq lists it as uncharacterized. The record is from RefSeq and is a predicted model, not a curated record. The transcript has 4 exons. Lineage: Eukaryota; Metazoa; Chordata; Aves; Charadriiformes; Scolopacidae.